This is a long non-coding RNA of Vitis riparia (riverbank grape), 386 nucleotides long. RefSeq lists it as uncharacterized. Lineage: Eukaryota; Viridiplantae; Streptophyta; Magnoliopsida; Vitales; Vitaceae. The record is from RefSeq and is a predicted model, not a curated record. The transcript is spliced from 3 exons.
UCAUUACGAUCAAAGAGUCGGGACGAGUUCCGGUUUAAGAGUGUCAAAAUAGUGGUUGAAUUUUGUCAAACGUUCUUCAAACUGUAUGACAUAGGGAAAGAUGUCUUCCAAUUCUCCAUUGAUUGGGCUCCUUCGAUUCCGACCCAAGAUAAUGGGUGGGACUGUGGAGUGCAUGUCAUUAGACAUAUGCAGAGAUUCAAAAAUGGUGAUUCGAUGACGAGCUCCGACUUUUGUAAUUCUGUUAAAAUACGUCGAGAAAUAGCAUGUGAUUUAGUUUUACACGAGGGAAAUAGAGAAAAACAAACCAUUGUGGCUAUUGUUUGUACAAAGACGUCGACACGAGCAAUGAAAAAAUUAUUAUUAUGAUAUUUGUUAUUUUUCUAAUA